This 75-nucleotide transfer RNA is filed under the name Candidatus Babelota bacterium. RNAcentral's name for it is "Candidatus Dependentiae bacterium tRNA-Glu". It matches the Rfam family "tRNA". From Rfam's summary of the family: Transfer RNA (tRNA) molecules are approximately 80 nucleotides in length. Their secondary structure includes four short double-helical elements and three loops (D, anti-codon, and T loops). The record is from RNAcentral.
GUCCGUAUCGUCUAGUGGCUAGGAUGUCACCCUCUCAAGGUGAAGACCCGGGUUCGAGUCCCGGUACGGACACCA